CGCGUGCUAUACAUGCAGUUGAGCGCUGAAGGUUGGUACUUGUACCGACUGGAUGAGCAGCGAACGGGUGAGUAACGCGUGGGGAAUCUGCCUUUGAGCGGGGGACAACAUUUGGAAACGAAUGCUAAUACCGCAUAAAAACUUUAAACACAAGUUUUAAGUUUGAAAGAUGCAAUUGCAUCACUCAAAGAUGAUCCCGCGUUGUAUUAGCUAGUUGGUGAGGUAAAGGCUCACCAAGGCGAUGAUACAUAGCCGACCUGAGAGGGUGAUCGGCCACAUUGGGACUGAGACACGGCCCAAACUCCUACGGGAGGCAGCAGUAGGGAAUCUUCGGCAAUGGACGAAAGUCUGACCGAGCAACGCCGCGUGAGUGAAGAAGGUUUUCGGAUCGUAAAACUCUGUUGGUAGAGAAGAACGUUGGUGAGAGUGGAAAGCUCAUCAAGUGACGGUAACUACCCAGAAAGGGACGGCUAACUACGUGCCAGCAGCCGCGGUAAUACGUAGGUCCCGAGCGUUGUCCGGAUUUAUUGGGCGUAAAGCGAGCGCAGGUGGUUUAUUAAGUCUGGUGUAAAAGGCAGUGGCUCAACCAUUGUAUGCAUUGGAAACUGGUAGACUUGAGUGCAGGAGAGGAGAGUGGAAUUCCAUGUGUAGCGGUGAAAUGCGUAGAUAUAUGGAGGAACACCGGUGGCGAAAGCGGCUCUCUGGCCUGUAACUGACACUGAGGCUCGAAAGCGUGGGGAGCAAACAGGAUUAGAUACCCUGGUAGUACACGCCGUAAACGAUGAGUGCUAGAUGUAUGGAGCUAUAAGUUCUCUGUAUCGCAGCUAACGCAAUAAGCACUCCGCCUGGGGAGUACGACCGCAACGUUGAAACUCAAAGGAAUUGACGGGGGCCCGCACACGCGAUGGAGCAUGUGGUUUAAUUCGAAUCUACGCCAAGAACCUUACGACGUCGUGACGUACUCGUGCCAUUCCUAGACAGCGGAA
This 986-nucleotide ribosomal RNA is filed under the name Lactococcus lactis subsp. lactis. RNAcentral describes it as "bacterial SSU rRNA". It matches the Rfam family "Bacterial small subunit ribosomal RNA", at positions 43 to 1012 of the family's 1533-position model. The record is from RNAcentral. Lineage: Bacteria; Bacillati; Bacillota; Bacilli; Lactobacillales; Streptococcaceae.